This is an RNA transcript of Chrysochloris asiatica (Cape golden mole), 1070 nucleotides long. It is a transcript of the gene named brain-derived neurotrophic factor-like, with no coding region annotated. The record is from RefSeq and is a predicted model, not a curated record. NCBI's taxonomy places the organism in Eukaryota, Metazoa, Chordata, Mammalia, Afrosoricida, Chrysochloridae. The transcript has a single exon.
UCCACCAGGUGAGAAGAGUGAUGACCAUCCUUUUCCUUAAUAUGGUUAUUUCAUACUUCGGUUGCAUGAAGGCUGCCCCCAUGAAAGAAGCCAACAUCCGAGGACAAGGCCGCUUGGCCUACCCAGGUGUGUGGACCCAUGGGACUCUGGAGAGCAUGAAUGGGCCCAAGGUGGGUUCAAGAGGCCUGACCUCAUUGGCUGACACUUUCAAACAUGUGAUAGAAGAGCUGUUGGAUGAGGACCAGAAAAUUCGGCCCAAUGAAGAAAACAAUAAGGAUGUGAACAUAUACACUUCCAGGGUGAUGCUCAGUAGUCAAGUGCCUUUAGAGCCUCAUCUUCUCUUUCUGCUUGACGAAUACAAAAAUUACCUGGAUGCUGCAAACAUGUCUAUGAGGGUCCGACGCCACUCUGAACCUGCCCUCUGUGGGGAGCUGAGUGUGUGUGACAGUAUUAGCGAGUGGGUAACAGCGGCAGAUAAAAAGACUACAGUGGACAUGUCGGGCGGGACGGUCACAGUCCUGGAAAAAGUCCUUGUAUUGAAAGGCCAACUGAAGCAAUAUUUCUACGAGACCAAGUGCAAUCCAUAGAUUACACAAAAGAGGGCUGCAGCGGCAUAGACAAAAGGCAUUGGAACUUCCAGUGCCGAACUACCAAUUAUAUGCGGGCCCUGACCAUGGAUAGCAAAAAGAGAAUUGGCUGGCGAUUUAUAAGGACAGACACUUCCUGUGUCCAUACAUUGACCAUUAAAAGGGGAAAAUAGUGGAUUUAUGUUGGAUAGAUUAUAUUGAGACAAAAAUUAUCUAUUUGUAUAUAUACAUAACAGGGUAAAUUAUUCAGUUAAGAAAAGAAAUUAAUUUUAUGAACUGCAUGUAUAAAUGAAGUUUAUACAGUACAGUGGUUCUACAAUCUAUUUACUGGACAUACCCAUGACCAGAAGGGAAAGAGUCAUUUGCGCACAACUUUAAAAGUCUGCAAUACAUUCCUCGAUAAUGUUGUGGUUUGUUGCCGUUGCCAAGAAUCAAAAACGUAAAAAAAAGUUUUAAAAUCAUCAUAAUAAAUUGCAUGCUGCU